Non-coding RNA from Megamonas hypermegale ART12/1, 140 nucleotides. The record is from Rfam. NCBI's taxonomy places the organism in Bacteria, Bacillati, Bacillota, Negativicutes, Selenomonadales, Selenomonadaceae.
AUUCAUUUAGUAAAGCGACUUAAGACAGCAGGUGUUACAUUAUUUGUAACAUAAUAUAGCCUGCCGAGGUCAGAUACUUGGCAAGGCAUGAAAACUUUGCGGUCUCUGGUCCUCACUAGAGACCGUUUUUUGGUUUCGUA